Molecule: ribosomal RNA, 447 nt
Filed under: uncultured bacterium
Lineage: Bacteria
Description: bacterial SSU rRNA
Rfam family: Bacterial small subunit ribosomal RNA
Source: RNAcentral
UGGGGAAUUUUGGACAAUGGGCGCAAGCCUGAUCCAGCCAUGCCGCGUGAGUGACGAAGGCCUUAGGGUUGUAAAACUCUUUCGUCGGGGACGAUAAUGACGGUACCCGAAGAAGAAGCUCCGGCUAACUUCGUGCCAGCAGCCGCGGUAAUACGAAGGGAGCUAGCGUUGUUCGGAUUUAUUGGGCGUAAAGAGUUCGUAGGCUGUUUGUUAAGUCUGAUGUUAAAGACUGGGGCUCAACCUCGGAAAUGCAUUGGAUACUGGCAGACUGGAGUGCAGUAGAGGCUAGUGGAAUUCCCAGUGUAGCGGUGAAAUGCGUAGAUAUUGGGAAGAACACCGGUGGCGUAGGCGACUAGCUGGGCUGUAACUGACGCUGAGGAACGAAAGCCAGGGGAGCGAAUGGGAUUAGAUACCCAGGUAGUCCCUGAGCGGGCUGGCAAGGCGCAU